UAAACUAGGGAUUAGAUACCCUAUUAUUCUAAAGGAUAAAGAAAGGAAUAAAUUAUUUUUUAAAUUAAAAAAUUUGGCGGUUUUCUUACAACUUAGAGGAGUGUGUUUCAUAAGGGAUAAUACACCAUAAAAUUUACUAUUUUUGAAAUUGUUAUACCGCUGUUUUAAAAUUAUUUUUGAUAAAAAUAUUUAAAAUUUUUUUUUAUUUGAAAAAAACUUCAAGUACAGGUGAUGUAAUAAAAUAGAGAAAAUGCACUACAAUAAAUAAUUUUAAAACGGAUUAUUUUUAUUAUGUUUAAUAUGAAGGUGAAUUUAGAAGUAAAAUUUUAUAAAAAUUUGAAUUUUGUUCAAGAAAAUGUACAUAUCGCCG
Molecule: ribosomal RNA, 370 nt
Filed under: Austropurcellia vicina
Lineage: Eukaryota; Metazoa; Arthropoda; Arachnida; Opiliones; Pettalidae
Description: partial 12S ribosomal RNA
Source: RNAcentral